RNAcentral lists this ribosomal RNA (720 nucleotides) under uncultured bacterium. RNAcentral describes it as "partial 16S ribosomal RNA". It matches the Rfam family "Bacterial small subunit ribosomal RNA", at positions 413 to 1126 of the family's 1533-position model. The record is from RNAcentral.
GGCCCUUGUGGUUGUAAMSYUYUGUCRGUGGGGAAUAAAGCUGCACGGCGAAUAACUGUGCGGUCUGAAGGUACCCACAAAGGAAGCUCCGGCUAACUCCGUGCCAGCAGCCGCGGUAAUACGGAGGGRGCGAACKUUGUUCGGAUUCMCUGGGUGUAAAGGGUGCGUAGGCGGCUGCGUGUGUCAGAGGUGAAAUCUACCGGCUCAACCGGUCAAAUUACCUCUGAAACUGCGCGGCUUGAGUCCGGAAGAGGAAGGUGGAAUUCCUGGUGUAACGGUGAAAUGUGCAKAUAUCARGAAGAACACCGGUGGCGAAGGCGGCCUUCUGGUCCGGUACUGACKCUGAGGCACGAAAGCUAGGGUAUCGAACGGGAUUAGAUACCCCGGUAGUCCUAGCCGUAAACGAUGUCCACUAGGUGUUGGAGGUUCUACCCCUUCAGUGCCGGAGCUAACGUUUUAAGUGGACCACCKGGGGAGUACSCUCGCAAGGKUGAAACUCAAAGGAAUUGACGGGGGCCCGCACAAGCGGUGGAGCAUGUGGUUUAAUUCGAUGCAACGCGAAGAACCUUACCGGGGCUUGACAUUCRRGGGACAGGUGUAGAGAUACACCCUCCUUCGGGCUCCUGGACAGGUGCUGCAUGGCUGUCGUCAGCUCGUGUCGUGAAAUGUUGGGUUAAGUCCCSCAACGAGCGCAACCCUUAUUUUUAGUURCCUUUUGRA